ACGGUCCUACGGGAGGCAGCAGUGAGGAAUAUUGGUCAAUGGGAGAGAUCCUGAACCAGCCAAGCCGCGUGAGGGAAGACGGCCCUAUGGGUUGUAAACCUCUUUUGUCGGAGAACAAAACCCGGGACGUGUCCCGGACUGCGUGUAUCCGAAGAAAAAGCAUCGGCUAACUCCGUGCCAGCAGCCGCGGUAAUACGGAGGAUGCGAGCGUUAUCCGGAUUUAUUGGGUUUAAAGGGUGCGCAGGCGGAGGUGCAAGUCAGCGGUCAAAUUGCGGGGCUCAACCCCGUACUGCCGUUGAAACUGC
This 305-nucleotide ribosomal RNA is filed under the name uncultured bacterium. RNAcentral describes it as "bacterial SSU rRNA". It matches the Rfam family "Bacterial small subunit ribosomal RNA", at positions 333 to 636 of the family's 1533-position model. The record is from RNAcentral.